RNAcentral lists this ribosomal RNA (579 nucleotides) under uncultured bacterium. Its description in RNAcentral is "bacterial SSU rRNA". It matches the Rfam family "Bacterial small subunit ribosomal RNA", at positions 102 to 677 of the family's 1533-position model. The record is from RNAcentral.
ACGGGUGAGUAAUACAUCGGAACGUAUCCUGGAGUGGGGGAUAGCCCGGCGAAAGCCGGAUUAAUACCGCAUACGCUCUGAGGAGGAAAGCGGGGGACCUUCGGGCCUCGCGCUCAAGGGGCGGCCGAUGGCGGAUUAGGUAGUUGGUGGGGUAAAGGCCUACCAAGCCGACGAUCCGUAGCUGGUCUGAGAGGACGACCAGCCACGCUGGAACUGAGACACGGCCCAGACUCCUACGGGAGGCAGCAGUGGGGAAUUUUGGACAAUGGGGGCAACCCUGAUCCAGCAAUGCCGCGUGUGUGAAGAAGGCCUUCGGGUUGUAAAGCACUUUUGUCCGGAAAGAAAUCAUCGGGGCCAAUACCCCUGGUGGAUGACGGUACCGGAAGAAUAAGCACCGGCUAACUACGUGCCAGCAGCCGCGGUAAUACGUAGGGUGCGAGCGUUAAUCGGAAUUACUGGGCGUAAAGCGUGCGCAGGCGGUGCUGUAAGACCGAUGUGAAAUCCCCGGGCUUAACCUGGGAACUGCAUUGGUGACUGCAGCGCUGGAGUAUGGCAGAGGGGGGUGGAAUUCCACGUGUA